Molecule: ribosomal RNA, 647 nt
Filed under: Fomitopsis palustris
Lineage: Eukaryota; Fungi; Basidiomycota; Agaricomycetes; Polyporales; Fomitopsidaceae
Description: partial 28S ribosomal RNA
Rfam family: Eukaryotic large subunit ribosomal RNA
Source: RNAcentral
GCAUAUCAAUAAGCGGAGGAAAAGAAACUAACAAGGAUUCCCCUAGUAACUGCGAGUGAAGCGGGAAAAGCUCAAAUUUAAAAUCUGGCGGUCUUUGGCCGUCCGAGUUGUAGUCUGGAGAAGUGCUUUCCGCGCUGGACCGUGUACAAGUCUCUUGGAACAGAGCGUCAUAGAGGGUGAGAAUCCCGUCUUUGACACGGACUACCAGUGCUUUGUGAUGCGCUCUCAAAGAGUCGAGUUGUUUGGGAAUGCAGCUCAAAAUGGGUGGUAAAUUCCAUCUAAAGCUAAAUAUUGGCGAGAGACCGAUAGCGAACAAGUACCGUGAGGGAAAGAUGAAAAGCACUUUGGAAAGAGAGUUAAACAGUACGUGAAAUUGCUGAAAGGGAAACGCUUGAAGUCAGUCGCGUUGGCCAGGACUCAGCCUUGCUUUUCGCUUGGUGCAUUUUCUGGUUGACGGGCCAGCAUCGAUUUUGACCACUGGAAAAAGGCUAGGGGAAUGUGGCACCUUCGGGUGUGUUAUAGCCCUUAGUCACAUACAGUGGUUGGGAUCGAGGACCGCAGCACGCCUUUAUGGCCGGGGUUCGCCCACGUUCGUGCUUAGGAUGCUGGCGUAAUGGCUUUAAACGACCCGUCUUGAAACACGGACC